UUAAGCCAAUUUUGUAUGCAGUUGGAACAGCGCCCCUAGCGGCAAACGCAGGCAAAUGUUUCAACUCCAUACAAAUAUGAGGUA
This 84-nucleotide microRNA precursor is filed under the name Bombyx mori (domestic silkworm). RNAcentral describes it as "mir-2807 microRNA precursor family". It matches the Rfam family "mir-2807 microRNA precursor family". The record is from Rfam by way of RNAcentral. Lineage: Eukaryota; Metazoa; Arthropoda; Insecta; Lepidoptera; Bombycidae.